This 253-nucleotide ribosomal RNA is filed under the name uncultured bacterium. RNAcentral describes it as "partial 16S ribosomal RNA". It matches the Rfam family "Bacterial small subunit ribosomal RNA", at positions 524 to 776 of the family's 1533-position model. The record is from RNAcentral.
UACGGGGGGGGCAAGCGUUGUUCGGAAUUACUGGGCGUAAAGCGCACGUAGGCGGCUUGUUAAGUCAGGGGUGAAAUCCUGGAGCUCAACUCCAGAACUGCCUUUGAUACUGGCGAGCUUGAGUCCGGGAGAGGUGAGUGGAACUGCGAGUGUAGAGGUGAAAUUCGUAGAUAUUCGCAAGAACACCAGUGGCGAAGGCGGCCAUCUGGACCAGCACUGACACUGAGGCACGAAAGCGUGGGGAGCAAACAGG